GUGAGACAGGUGCUGCAUGGCUGUCGUCAGCUCGUGUUGUGAAAUGUUGGGUUAAGUCCCGCAACGAGCGCAACCCUUAUCCUUUGUUGCCAGCGGUCCGGCCGGGAACUCAAAGGAGACUGCCAGUGAUAAACUGGAGGAAGGUGGGGAUGACGUCAAGUCAUCAUGGCCCUUACGACCAGGGCUACACACGUGCUACAA
Molecule: ribosomal RNA, 201 nt
Filed under: Salmonella enterica subsp. enterica serovar Weltevreden
Lineage: Bacteria; Pseudomonadati; Pseudomonadota; Gammaproteobacteria; Enterobacterales; Enterobacteriaceae
Description: partial 16S ribosomal RNA
Rfam family: Bacterial small subunit ribosomal RNA
Source: RNAcentral